MicroRNA precursor from Oryza sativa Japonica Group (Japanese rice), 210 nucleotides. It matches the Rfam family "MIR812 microRNA precursor family". The record is from Rfam. NCBI's taxonomy places the organism in Eukaryota, Viridiplantae, Streptophyta, Magnoliopsida, Poales, Poaceae.
AAUAAGUGCAAUUUUAGCACUGUUCAUGUUCAACGUUUGACCGUUCGUCUUAUUUUGAAAAAGAUUAUGAUUAGUAUUUUUAUUAUUAUUAGAUGAUAAAACAUGAAUAGUAUUUUAUGUGUGACUAAUUUUUUUAAUACUUUUCAUAAAUUUUUCAAAUAAGACGGAUGGUCAAAGCGCUAAGCACGGAUAUCUAUAGCUGCACUUAUU